RNAcentral lists this ribosomal RNA (1098 nucleotides) under uncultured bacterium. RNAcentral describes it as "bacterial SSU rRNA". It matches the Rfam family "Bacterial small subunit ribosomal RNA", at positions 50 to 1139 of the family's 1533-position model. The record is from RNAcentral.
AACACAUGCAAGUCGAGGGGCAGCAUGGUCUUAGCUUGCUAAAGCUGAUGGCGACCGGCGCACGGGUGAGUAACACGUAUCCAACCUGCCGUCUACUCUUGGCCAGCCUUCUGAAAGGAAGAUUAAUCCAGGAUGGGAUCAUGAGUUCACAUGUCCGCAUGAUUAAAGGUAUUUUCCGGUAGACGAUGGGGAUGCGUUCCAUUAGAUAGUAGGCGGGGUAACGGCCCACCUAGUCAACGAUGGAUAGGGGUUCUGAGAGGAAGGUCCCCCACAUUGGAACUGAGACACGGUCCAAACUCCUACGGGAGGCAGCAGUGAGGAAUAUUGGUCAAUGGGCGAUGGCCUGAACCAGCCAAGUAGCGUGAAGGAUGACUGCCCUAUGGGUUGUAAACUUCUUUUAUAAAGGAAUAAAGUCGGGUAUGCAUACCCGUUUGCAUGUACUUUAUGAAUAAGGAUCGGCUAACUCCGUGCCAGCAGCCGCGGUAAUACGGAGGAUCCGAGCGUUAUCCGGAUUUAUUGGGUUUAAAGGGAGCGUAGAUGGAUGUUUAAGUCAGUUGUGAAAGUUUGCGGCUCAACCGUAAAAUUGCAGUUGAUACUGGAUGUCUUGAGUGCAGUUGAGGCAGGCGGAAUUUGUGGUGUAGCGGUGAAAUGCUUAGAUAUCACGAAGAACUCCGAUUGCGAAGGCAGCCUGCUAAGCUGCAACUGACAUUGAGGCUCGAAAGUGUGGGUAUCAAACAGGAUUAGAUACCCUGGUAGUCCACACGGUAAACGAUGAAUACUCGCUGUUUGCGAUAUACGGCAAGCGGCCAAGCGAAAGCGUUAAGUAUUCCACCUGGGGAGUACGCCGGCAACGGUGAAACUCAAAGGAAUUGACGGGGGCCCGCACAAGCGGAGGAACAUGUGGUUUAAUUCGAUGAUACGCGAGGAACCUUACCCGGGCUUAAAUUGCACUCGAAUGAUCCGGAAACGGUUCAGCUAGCAAUAGCGAGUGUGAAGGUGCUGCAUGGUUGUCGUCAGCUCGUGCCGUGAGGUGUCGGCUUAAGUGCCAUAACGAGCGCAACCCUUGUUGUCAGUUACUAACAGGUGAUGCUGAGGACU